GCGUGCGAAAAAAGGCCGCCGCCGGGGGAGCGAAGGGAAAGACCGCAGACGCCGGCACCCUCUCCACAGGCCCCUGCGCUCACAGAUCAUAACGAUGCUAAUGAUGAGAGAUCAGAACCAUGGAAAAUCAGGGGACUUCGGAAAUGAUUGCCAGAGAGUGAUAUCUUCCUAAAUGGGAUUCUUCAAAGAGCA
Podarcis muralis (Common wall lizard) is the source of this 192-nucleotide non-coding RNA. NCBI's taxonomy places the organism in Eukaryota, Metazoa, Chordata, Lepidosauria, Squamata, Lacertidae. The record is from RefSeq and is a predicted model, not a curated record.